Podarcis lilfordi (Lilford's wall lizard) is the source of this 71-nucleotide non-coding RNA. The record is from the annotation of a GenBank genome assembly. NCBI's taxonomy places the organism in Eukaryota, Metazoa, Chordata, Lepidosauria, Squamata, Lacertidae.
GGGUAGCUCAGUGGGGUAGAGCAUGGUGCCGAUAACACCAAGGUUGCAGGUUCGAUUCCCCGUGUGGGACA